GAUGAACGCUGACAGAAUGCUUAACACAUGCAAGUCUACUUGAACUUCGGUUUGGGUGGCGGACGGGUGAGUAACGCGUAAAGAACUUGCCUCACAGAUAGGGACAACAUUUGGAAACGAAUGCUAAUACCUGAUAUUAUGAUUUUAGGGCAUCCUAGAAUUAUGAAAGCUAUAUGCACUGUGAGAGAGCUUUGCGUCCCAUUAGCUAGUUGGAGAGGUAACGGCUCACCAAGGCGAUGAUGGGUAGCCGGCCUGAGAGGGUGAUCGGCCACAAGGGGACUGAGACACGGCCCGUACUCCUACGGGAGGCAGCAGUGGGGAAUAUUGGACAAUGGACCAAGAGUCUGAUCCAGAAAUUCUGUGUGCACGAUGAAGUUUUUCGGAAUGUAAAGUGCUUUCAGUUGGGAAGAAAAAAAUGACGGUACCAACAGAAGAAGUGACGGCUAAAUACGUG
RNAcentral lists this ribosomal RNA (454 nucleotides) under uncultured bacterium. RNAcentral describes it as "partial 16S ribosomal RNA". It matches the Rfam family "Bacterial small subunit ribosomal RNA", at positions 28 to 507 of the family's 1533-position model. The record is from RNAcentral.